AAAACUCUCCAACUAAUUUAAUAAGUAAGAAAGCUGAUGUGACUUUACUAACCAUGCUGGAUGUAUGAGGAAUUCUUCUCAAAGCAUGAAGAACUACCAAGAAAACCCUUAAAUAUUCAGAAUAAAGGAAGAAUGUGACAGCAUAAGCCAAGAUAUUCUGAUGAUCUAUUGGAAAAUCCAAGAGGGGAUCAUACUGCUGUCAUCCAAACAACCCUACAGGGAUCAGGAAGAAGCUUAAAAUUCCUAGGAACUCUGAGUUUACAGGAGUAGAGAAACACAACCAGAAUUUAGGUAUUCAUAUGUGCAUGUUUUCACUAGGUUGAAAUUAAGAUUGCAACUUCUGUUUCAAUGGUAACCCAGUAGCCUCCUAAAAGAACAUUUUUCAGGUUCCCCAGAAUUUGUAUAUUUUACUGUCCCUUUUCUUAAGUGCUAUAUAACUACCAACAUGAAGAAAAAUUUACUUACUGCCUCUGCUACAGCCUUUCACUGGAGAGAAAGACAGGGACAUUGUAUUUAUUUCAGUUAGAGCAUAUUUGUGACUGUAACAAAAUAAAACUUACAUGACUGAAUAAUUUUACUGCUGCCAGUAGGAUUAGUUUCACCACAGUUCAAUUAAUUAUGCCAGUUUCACUCUUCUAUUGCUACAAACUAUUUGUCUAGCUUAAAUUCCAUGUUUGCUACUGGUGGACUUUUUAUUAGGUCUAUUUUAUAUAUAGAUAAAUAGACGGUCAGAGAGGAUUAGUGAUUUGCCUAAGGCUGAACAACUCUCACCACUAUAUAAUUCAAAAAUAAGAAAAAUAAGAAAAUAUAAGAAAAUAUAUGUAUCAUUCUCUUCACUUGGAACAGUCACAGAGAGAAAUCUCAAAUUUCUGUAGCAUUUUGAAAGUCCCGUGGACUCAGACAGAUUGAAAUGGAAAGAAAGAAUAGUGGGGAAGGAAACACUCCCACAUGAUGAAGGAAAAUUUACUAUUUGAUUAGGAUUUAGGCUGUUUUCAUAUUGCUCUGAAAAUCAAAACCAGAAUUCUAUAUGCUGUAAUUAUCAUUCCUGCAUUAGAAUAGAUUUUUUUUAAUCAGAUUUUCAUAAAUUAUUCAUUUAGAUAUUUUUGACCAAGUUCAAUCAAUAAAGCUACUUUACUAAGACUGAGAUUCAAAUAUCACAGUUCAGUAGGAAUAUUAGCAAAAGUUGACUCAUUCUGGUUCCUUCCAAACUGCUUCAAAAUUCAUAUGUUCAACAACAUUUGUCUAGAAUAUGAUUAUUUGCUUUUAUUAUCCCAUUAUUAUUAUGUUAUAAUUAUCCAUUAAAUCACUCUUCUUCCUUUAGUAAUGUCAUUAUUUAACUUAGAGGAAUCUUCUUCGUGAUUUAUCAUGAUUGGAAUCUUUUCUUGUAAAUGCUGCUAUCUUACUAGGUCUUCUCUCCUACUCCAGAUUCCCACCAAGCUUUACAAUAAUGGUUGUUUGAAUUGUUUUGAUUCCUUCAGACCUGAGGCUUCAUGUCUGAAUCAAAGGAUAAUUCAAAGUGAAAAGAAUCCUAACAAUAAACUGAUCUUCAGUUUCUGCAUGUGAUCAUCAAGUUAUCUGUCAUUCUUUACAUGCAAAGUACUUAUCUCUUCCAUACCUCCUGCAUUAAAUUUGUAUUUCUCAAAAAUUCAGUAUUUUGUCUACAGUUAAUUCCCUCAUUUCCUUUUCUUGUAAUAAAUUAUGCUGACUAUUUGUGCAAAGUGUGAUCUCAGUUUACAGUCCAUUUCCUUUUGACUUUCCAUUUGUUACAUAUUAUUCAAUUAGACUGAAUAAACUAAUGUUCAAUCUGACCAAUUUCAGCACCAUUUCAGGACAACUGUAGAAGAUUAAGACACUGCUAACCCAAAUCAUACCUUACCUGUAGUAUGAGUAAUUAAUUUCACUUAAAUCUGAUGAGAUGAUAAGCAAGGACUCUGAUGAGAAAUUUAACUUCUGAUCCUCUCUUUGUCUCACUUGUCUUCUAGUAGAUGUUUGCCUACAUUAAGAUGUGUUGCAAGACUUCUAAUUACAGUAAUCACAGGGGAGAGUUUUGGUGUUGUACUUUGCAAAAUAGUUACUCAAGUCCUUCAGGGGACUCAGAGCACAGUGAUGCUGUUCAGAAGAAUCUGGACAAGCUUAUGAAAUGGUCCUCUUCCUGGGCUGGAGCAAUCCUGGUUUCAAUACAGUUUGAGGGGUGAAGUAAUUGAAAGCCCUCUGGAGGAAGACUGGAGAAGGACUUGGGGGUCUUGGUGAAUGAAAAGCUGGACAGAAGCCCAGUGUGUCCACAAUUGUAUGGGUGCACUCACAGCCCAGAAAACCAAACAUAUCCAUGGCUGCAUCAAAACCAGCACAACCUGCAGGCCAAGAGAGGUGAUUGUCCCCCUCUACUGUACUUCUAUGUGUUCCCAGCUGACAUAUUGUACUUAUCUCUACAGCUUUCAGCACAGACAUAGGCGUGUUAGAAUGCGUCCAGAGGAGGACCUGCAAAAUGAUUGGAAGAAUGAAACAACUCUCUUGUGAGGAGAGGCUGAGAGGGCUGGGGUUGCUCCGCCUGGAAAAGGUUCUGUGAGACCUUAUUCUGUCCUUUGAAUACUUCAAAAGGAUGUAUAAGUAAGAUGAAAACAGACUUUUUAGUAUGGCCUGCUGUGACAGCACAAAAGAUAAUGGUUUUAAACUUAAAGAGGGUAGAUUUAGACUAGAUACAAAGAGUAAGCUUUUUGUAAUGGUGGUGAAACACAAAAACAGGUUGCCCAGGGAAGUGGUAGAUGUCCCAUCUCUAGAAACAGUCAAUCAAGGUCUAGUUGGUCAAGUUUCUGUGCUACCUGAGGUAGUUUGAGAUGUUACUGCUUCUUGCAUUACUUGCUACAUGACCUGUAAUGGUUCCUUCCAAACUGAAAUAAUCUAUCAUUCUAGGGUUCUGUGAUUGUCUGAUUUUAUAUGUGUUAUUUCAAUAAAUAUAAGUUUUCCAUUUGCUUUCUUCA
Parus major (Great Tit) is the source of this 2978-nucleotide long non-coding RNA. RefSeq lists it as uncharacterized. The record is from RefSeq and is a predicted model, not a curated record. Lineage: Eukaryota; Metazoa; Chordata; Aves; Passeriformes; Paridae. The transcript has 3 exons.